RNAcentral lists this ribosomal RNA (450 nucleotides) under uncultured prokaryote. RNAcentral describes it as "bacterial SSU rRNA". It matches the Rfam family "Bacterial small subunit ribosomal RNA", at positions 355 to 796 of the family's 1533-position model. The record is from RNAcentral.
UGGGGAAUAUUGGACAAUGGGCGAAAGCCUGAUCCAGCGAUGCCGCGUGAGUGAUGAAGGCCUUCGGGUUGUAAAGCUCUGUGGGUGGGGACGAAAAAGUCGAGUUCAAAUAGGGCUCGACCUUGACGGUACCCACUUAGCAAGCACCGGCUAACUCUGUGCCAGCAGCCGCGGUAAGACAGAGGGUGCAAACGUUGCUCGGAAUUACUGGGCGUAAAGCGCGUGUAGGCGGACAUGCAAGUCGGGUGUGAAAUCCCUGGGCUCAACCCAGGAACUGCAUUCGAAACUGCAUGUCUUGAGUACUGGAGAGGAGAGCGGAAUUCCCGGUGUAGAGGUGAAAUUCGUAGAUAUCGGGAGGAACAUCAGUGGCGAAGGCGGCUCUCUGGACAGUAACUGACGCUGAGACGCGAAAGCGUGGGUAGCGAACAGGAUUAGAUACCCCCGUAGUCC